RNAcentral lists this ribosomal RNA (499 nucleotides) under uncultured bacterium. Its description in RNAcentral is "partial 16S ribosomal RNA". It matches the Rfam family "Bacterial small subunit ribosomal RNA", at positions 30 to 523 of the family's 1533-position model. The record is from RNAcentral.
AUUGAACGCUGGCGGAAUGCUUUACACAUGCAAGUCGAACGGCAGCACGGACUUCGGUCUGGUGGCGAGUGGCGAACGGGUGAGUAAUGUAUCGGAACGUGCCCAGUCGUGGGGGAUAACGUAGUGAAAAUUACGCUAAUACCGCAUACGAUCUAUGGAUGAAAGCGGGGGAUCGCAAGACCUCGCGCGAUUGGAGCGGCCGAUAUCAGAUUAGGUAGUUGGUGGGUAAAGGCCCACCAAGCCAACGAUCUGUAGCUGGUCUGAGAGGACGACCAGCCACACUGGAACUGAGACACGGUCCAGAAUCCUACGGGAGGCAGCAGUGGGGAAUUUUGGACAAUGGGCGAAAGCCUGAUCCAGCCAUUCCGCGUGCAGGAUGAAGGCCCUCGGGUUGUAAACUGCUUUUGUACAGAACGAAAAGGUUUCUACUAAUACUAGGAGCUCAUGACGGUACUGUAAGAAUAAGCACCGGCUAACUACGUGCCAGCCGCCGUGGUAA